UUUCCGUAGGUGAACCUGCGGAAGGAUCAUUAAUAAUAAGUGUUUUAUGGCACUUUUUUAAAUCCAUAUCCACCUUGUGUGCAAUGUCAGGGUUGAUUUUUCUCUCGAGAGGAUCAACCCCAAACAUCAACUAUAUCUCAACUCUUUGUCUGAAAAAUAUUAUGAAUAAAACAAUUCAAAAUACAACUUUCAACAACGGAUCUCUUGGCUCUC
This 213-nucleotide unclassified non-coding RNA is filed under the name plant metagenome. RNAcentral's name for it is "partial contains small subunit ribosomal RNA, internal transcribed spacer 1, and 5.8S ribosomal RNA". The record is from RNAcentral.